GAUGAACGCUGGCGGCGUGCCUAAUACAUGCAAGUCGAGCGAACGGACGAGAAGCUUGCUUCUCUGAUGUUAGCGGCGGACGGGUGAGUACACGUGGAUAACCUACCUAUAAGACUGGGAUAACCUCGGGAAACCGGAGCUAAUACCGGACGAUAUUUUGAAACGCCUGGUUCAAAAGGGAAAGAAGGUCUUGCUGUUACUUAUAGAUGGAUCCGCGCUUCAUUAGCUAGUUGGUAAGGUAACGGCUUACCAAGGCAACGAUGCAUAGCCGACCUGAGUGAGUGAUCGGCCAAACUGGAACUGAGACACGGUCCAGACUCCGACGGGAGGCAGCAGUAGGGAAUCUUCCGCAAUGGGCGAAAGCCUGACGGAGCAACGCCGCGUGAGUGAUGAAGGUCUUCGGAUCGUAAAACUCUGUUAUUAGGGAAGAACAUAUGUGUAAGUAACUGUGCACAUCUUGACGGUACCUAAUCAGAAAGCCACGGCUAACUACGUG
Molecule: ribosomal RNA, 496 nt
Filed under: uncultured bacterium
Lineage: Bacteria
Description: partial 16S ribosomal RNA
Rfam family: Bacterial small subunit ribosomal RNA
Source: RNAcentral